This 253-nucleotide ribosomal RNA is filed under the name uncultured bacterium. Its description in RNAcentral is "partial 16S ribosomal RNA". It matches the Rfam family "Bacterial small subunit ribosomal RNA", at positions 524 to 776 of the family's 1533-position model. The record is from RNAcentral.
UACGUAGGGUGCGAGCGUUAAUCGGAAUUACUGGGCGUAAAGCGUGCGCAGGCGGUUAUGUAAGACAGGUGUGAAAUCCCCGGGCUUAACCUGGGAACUGCAUUUGUGACUGCAUAGCUAGAGUACGGUAGAGGGGGAUGGAAUUUCGCGUGUAGCAGUGAAAUGCGUAGAUAUGCGGAGGAACACCGAUGGCGAAGGCAAUCCCCUGGACCUGUACUGACGCUCAUGCACGAAAGCGUGGGGAGCAAACAGG